GUCAGUAACCCAGCCCUAAAGGGACUGGGCUUGUAAGAGAAAUCAAGCAAGCCGUACUGACCAGACCUCCCUGAGUUUACUCUCAUGGUAGCCGUUAUUUGAGUCACGACACCCCGGAAUGCGAAGCCCCUUCGGGGUUCAGCAGUCGCUCAUGGGAGAAACCCCCAAGACCGCGCUGCUUCACUAGUUCCCUGCUCUGUCAUUUGCAAUUAAACAGUUUUAAGGUAACAGAAACAGUGUUGCAAGUCUAAAAAGCUCUGAUAACUGGUCGUUCGCGCAGCGUGCCGUAGGCAUCAGCUAACAUUAC
Non-coding RNA from Aphanizomenon flos-aquae, 307 nucleotides. Lineage: Bacteria; Bacillati; Cyanobacteriota; Cyanophyceae; Nostocales; Aphanizomenonaceae. The record is from Rfam.